RNAcentral lists this transfer RNA (72 nucleotides) under bacterium. RNAcentral's name for it is "tRNA-Arg". It matches the Rfam family "tRNA". From Rfam's summary of the family: Transfer RNA (tRNA) molecules are approximately 80 nucleotides in length. Their secondary structure includes four short double-helical elements and three loops (D, anti-codon, and T loops). The record is from RNAcentral.
GCUCUCGUCGUUCAAUGGAUAGGAUGUUCCCCUCCGAAGGGAACGAUGUCAGUUCGAUUCUGACCGAGAGCA